AACUAACGCUGGCGGCGUGCCUAACACAUGCAAGUCGUACGAGAAAGCCGGCUUCGGCUGGUGAGUAAAGUGGCGCACGGGUGAGUAACGCGUGGAUAAUCUGCCCUUAAGUGUGGAAUAACGUACCGAAAGGUGCGCUAAUACCGCAUAAUGCCUGGCAACACAAGUUGUCCGGCCAAAGAAGGCCUCUGUUUACAAGCUUUCGCUUCAGGAUGAGUCCGCGUACCAUUAGCUUGUUGGUGGGGUAAUGGCCUACCAAGGCUGCGAUGGUUAGCUGGUCUGAGAGGAUGAUCAGCCACACUGGAACUGAGACACGGUCCAGACUCCUAUGGGAGGCAGCAGUGAGGAAUAUUGCGCAAUGGGGGCAACCCUGACGCAGCAACGCCGCGUGAGUGAGGAAGGUUUUCGGACUGUAAAGCUCUGUCGAGCGGGAAGAAGUGUACCAUGGCUAAUAUCCAUGAUAUUUGACGGUACCGCUAGA
RNAcentral lists this ribosomal RNA (481 nucleotides) under uncultured bacterium. Its description in RNAcentral is "bacterial SSU rRNA". It matches the Rfam family "Bacterial small subunit ribosomal RNA", at positions 29 to 485 of the family's 1533-position model. The record is from RNAcentral.